UACGGAGGGAGCUAGCGUUGUUCGGAAUUACUGGGCGUAAAGCGUACGUAGGCGGUUAUUCAAGUCAGAGGUGAAAGCCCGGGGCUCAACCCCGGAACUGCCUUUGAAACUAGAUAGCUAGAAUCUUGGAGAGGUCAGUGGAAUUCCGAGUGUAGAGGUGAAAUUCGUAGAUAUCGGGAGGAACACCAGUGGCGAAGGCGACUACCUGGCCUGUUUCUUGACGCUGAGGCGCGAAAGCUAGGGGAGCAAACGGG
Molecule: ribosomal RNA, 254 nt
Filed under: uncultured bacterium
Lineage: Bacteria
Description: partial 16S ribosomal RNA
Rfam family: Bacterial small subunit ribosomal RNA
Source: RNAcentral